Long non-coding RNA from Biomphalaria glabrata, 1375 nucleotides. RefSeq lists it as uncharacterized. Lineage: Eukaryota; Metazoa; Mollusca; Gastropoda; Planorbidae. The transcript has 3 exons. The record is from RefSeq and is a predicted model, not a curated record.
UCCUGAAGUGGCUAACAUCACCAUCUCGUCUGCUGACCUCUCCCCUUCUCUCUCGUCGAUUAAUUCCUUCACAUUCACUUCUGCCAAUAGCGUGAAAUUGGUGUGUGAGCUUUUCCCGCCAUUUUGUUGACGAUGAUUUCUCUCGGAACCAACUGUAAACACCAACCAUUGAAAGCUGUCACUGUACUUGUGUACUAGGAAGUUAUUCACUUCUGCUGAUGCUGGAGUACGAGUGCUGCUUGGAUUACACACGCUCUCAACCACUGAUUUGAUCUGAAAACGCAAUUUCCUGACAGUUUUAUCCACAAGACAUAAGAAGAAAUGGCCCAUCAUGAGAUUCCUGGAGAUACAAUAACCACACAAAGUACCGGCAGUCUUUGCCUACUCUCCGAUGAUGAGAAUAUAUUGUAGAGACUGCAGUAGAACUCUUCAACCCAAGCAUUGAAAUGACUUCAGUUUGAUCCAGUAGCUGUUCUGUUCUAUUCUUAUAUUUUAACUUGUCAACAAAACUUUUCUGUUUAUGUGUCAUAUAAACCCAAAACAAAACAAAAAAAAAAAAAAGAAUUAUAAUAACGCCAUGCCAUUUACAGUAAAAGUUCAAGGACACUCAGACAUACAUAUUCUCAAAUACUCUAUAUUCACAGAUCGUAUGCUGGAUGAAUAUAAAUCGUCAAAAGUCAAAAAUCUAUUUCUAAAGGUGACUCACCUGUCAAGUCUAAGAGAAUGGGCUUGAACAGCGUCCCGGUACCCCAAGCCUUCUCCAUCUCUGUCUGUCUGUCUGUCUGUCUCUCUCUCUCUCUCUCUGCAUAUUUCUCUAGCCUGAGUCAAAUCCAACAAAAUCUGUAUAAAAAUAUCAAGGUGAAAACUGGGGUAACAGGGGCGUUGAAGGGCGCGACAAAACGGACGCCGUGUCGUGGUGCGACUAGUGUCUUUAAGGAACAGUUGGCAGAUGGGCUACUGUGGGUCAGGGGGUCAAAGGGGACGUGUUUUGGCAUCUUAAAUAACAGAAACAGGCCUCAGCCAUUUGCCACCAUGGCGCUCCCUCUCCCUACAGGGGAAUCGACCAUCUGCUAUUCUCUCUACACACAUUCUUCGAACAACUGAACCCCUCGAUACGUCCAGUGUUGUCAAUGAUAAAUUCAAUGUCUAAAGUAUUUACAUGUAACACUUGGCACUCUGUAUGGAAUGUAGCAGGCACUUGUAACAUUGUAUAACUUGUGACAGAACAUAAAUUGAUGUAGCUAGUACAACAAUAGGACUUGUAUCGCCACAUAACAUUGUUGUAAGUAUGUAAAGUAGCAGAGCAAAUGGACGUUUCAAAGUCUCUAUUACAGUGUCUUUUGACUCUUCUACGGAAUAAACGUAUUUUGAAUAA